GCAGCUUUCCAGCAAUAUCUCCAAUCAGCUCCUGAGGACCAGAGAAAGAUGGCUAUGAGUGUCUCUGAACUGCAAGCAUGAGGUUCCCAGGGAGAGCUGACCCACCCUGCAUGGAAGGGCUGAGCUCUAGGAUCCUGAGCAUCGUUGUCCUUGUUCUGGGUUUUGACAGGACACUGCUGGGGUGUUGGCAAAACAGGCACGGUAUCACUCAGCACUGGCCACGGAGAUGCUGAACUGUUGCUGCUGGGAACUAGAGGAAAUCUAGUCAGCUGAGGCCUGUGAAGGUACUGAGGAGGAGCUAGAAGAUACAAACAGGGAGGAGGAGGAAAGUGGCACAGAUGAAGAAAGUUUAUGGGAGGAAAGAAAAGAACUGUGAGCUGGGGGUGAGGAGACAUCGCUUCUUCUGACUGGUUGGUGUUGCGUAUUGGUGUCGUCUCUCCCUCUCCUGCUCCCUUCUCCUCUCAGCUAAGUGUGUUAAAUGGUUUCCCUACCACAGCUAACCUAUCUGGAGAGUAAGACACAACUGCCAAAAGAGAAACACUGCAGUAAGCAACAGAGCAAACACAAAAGAGCUUUACAGAAUGGUGAUGGAAAUGUGCUGUUUUUUAAAUGCCAAAGAAUGGAUCUGGUUUAGGGUCAGAAUAAGGGGAGACUGAGGGUGGGAGGAACUGUUGAAGAAAGGGAAGUUUCUGUUGCUGGUGCUUCUGCAUGCUUAAAGCACACAUGCUACAAAGGUAGAGUGAAAGCGCUUUAUGUCCAUGAGGCACUUCGUUACUGGCAGGAGAUAUACAUUUUGCACUGUUUGUGCUAGAGCCCCUAACAUAAACACAGUGAGGCAAUGCCUGUGUUACUGCCAUUCCUCACCUGUGAUACGGGGUCUUGUGAUAGUCAGAGUCAAUAGCAUGUUGCUGCUUCAGCAUGGAGGGAGGGGUGCUGAGCAAAAUCACCAGCUUCAUAGUGCUGUGACACAAAAAAAAAGCUGUCUAUGGAAAGUGGCACCUCAGCACUCUGGUGCUAAGGCCAAGCUGGUCUAAUGUUUAAUGAAAAAUGCCUCAUCUUCCCUAUGGACAACAGUUUCUUCUCUGCCUUUGAAUCAAGCAGCAGGUGCAUUUCAUCCAGAAAUGACAGCAGAACAGUAAGGGAGGGGUGAUGUUUCAAGCAUUGUAUAAUCAAUUAUUUUCUCCAUAAGAAAGACAGCAGGUUUCUGCCCCUUCAUUUCUCAAGUAAGGCUUUUCCUGGUCCUUGUUCUGAUUUUAUUUUUGUAAGGCCAGGAGGGAAGGUGGUAAAUGAUUUGCUAGAGGCGGCCACCGUGCCAGGCCUCUUUCAAAGCGCUCUGCCCUCAGCUAGCCUGGAGGCAGAGCAAGCCUGAGUCACCAGAGGAAGGAGCUUGGCCUGGCACCACGCAACCCCUGUGCUUUGGUGUGAGCCAGAGCCAGGGGUGGUUGUGUGAUGGGCUGGGAUCGCCUGGCCACGUCCUGCCUCAGACUAAGCAAGUUUCAGUGCUGGGUGGUGAGGAGACUUCUUUGGGGCCCUUAAUCCCUCCUCGCAGGAGGCAAGCAGACUGGCUGAGUGGGAAACAGAAGCCAGCAGUGAUAGCUGGAGCUGUGGCGUGUCUGGCAGCUGUAGUCGCGGGAGUCUUGCUCUGGGCACGCACGCAAACUUCCCUCAGCACGCUGUGUCGCCUGCUCUGGCACUGCUGGAUCCGGGUUUGUGCUGCAUCCACCCCCCGGACACACAUUUGCAGGUCUCUUGGUGUAGACAGACACUCUUGCUGCCCUCUGCCUCCCAGCGCCCCUAGAGCUAGAUGCCCCAUAAAGCAGCUCCGCAGCCAUUUCACACCAGUGAGCCUUUCCCCAGCCUCAGGAGGGCCGAAGAGGCCCAGCUCAGUGUUGCCCCCAGAAGAAAUAGGCAAGGCAGGAGUUUCAGU
Dromaius novaehollandiae (emu) is the source of this 1927-nucleotide long non-coding RNA. RefSeq lists it as uncharacterized. Lineage: Eukaryota; Metazoa; Chordata; Aves; Casuariiformes; Dromaiidae. The record is from RefSeq and is a predicted model, not a curated record. The transcript has 3 exons.